GUCUACUUCCGGAAAUGUUGCAUAAAACUAGCAAGUGAGCUUUGUUCUCUGUACAGUUCUCAAGACUGAAAUCUAGGUUUUAGCGAAAAAAAAUGCACUUUUCAAAUUGUGAGAGUAUUUUAAGACCAGCCCUUCAAAUACUGAGUUUUGAGUCGUGUCAAAUAGAUGGCGUGUUGAUUGUGUCAGUUAUGGGCUUAUGGCGGUUUCUUGUCAAAAAUUAAGCUGUCUUUUUUUCGUAAAUUACCAAUCAAUUCAUAGGAGAAAACGUGAAAGAGUCGUGUGGCCGUCGUGCCUACUGUCAACUAUUUUGAUUGUUCAAAAUCAUUGUAUUCUACUAAAAUAUGCCAUCGAAAUGAUACAGGAUUCAUCAUAAUUACCUGCUGUUUGUAUUGGAGUAAUUCGACUUGCUAGAUCACCAGCCCCAGCAUGGACCAUUAUCUCAUUCCAUCUUCUAGAGAACCUUGGAUAACUGAUUGCUGGUUUCAUGUGUUCUAAACUACAGGUUUCUAAAUUGGCAUGACACAGUCAGUCAUGUUGGUAUCAUCAUGUUCUUUCAAGAAAAAGGACAAGGACUAUUCAGUCAACAAAGUUACUUGUUUGCUAACCUGUUGCUGCUACCCUUGAAUCUCCAUUUUUACUUCCUUUACAUGGCCCUCUUGAUUUGAGGGUAAUCCUUCGCUACUUGGCAUGGACAUGGACUUACUUGGCUUGGACUCGUGAAAAUCAACAAGAGAAUGCUGUAAUUCAAGACUGAUAAAUUGUGUAGUUCUUAGAUAAAUUUCAAGUGCAUAUCUGGGCUCCCUUCUUUUCUGUGGCGGCCCCGUUCAAUCGCUCUCGUAAUUAUGUUCCUCAACCCCCCUGCCUUGAUUAGCUGUCUGCAAGUCCUUAUAGAUAGAUCAAUUCUGGUUGUUGGAUUUCCUAAUUCCGCAUCCAGAAUACAACUAUAUGGAACUCGCAAAUAAAGAAAAGCUUUGAACCGGGCGGUCUGUUUAGUAUAUAUUCGUUAUUUCAACACUUUUUGACGAAUUUUAAAUAAAUUAAAUGUUAUGUAAUUAAGUUAA
Long non-coding RNA from Daphnia pulex (common water flea), 1061 nucleotides. RefSeq lists it as uncharacterized. The record is from RefSeq and is a predicted model, not a curated record. The transcript is spliced from 5 exons. Lineage: Eukaryota; Metazoa; Arthropoda; Branchiopoda; Diplostraca; Daphniidae.